UAGCAUAUCAUAGCGGAGGAAAAGACCAACAGGGAUUGCCCUAGUAACGGCGAGUGAAGCGGCAACAGCUCAAAUUUGAAAUCUGGCCUCGGCCCGAGUUGUAAUUUGCAGAGGAUGCUUCUGGCGCGGUGCCUUCCGAGUUCCCUGGAACGGGACGCCACAGAGGGUGAGAGCCCCGUAUGGUCGGACACCAAGCCUGUGUGAAGCUCCUUCGACGAGUCGAGUAGUUUGGGAAUGCUGCUCUAAAUGGGAGGUAAAUCUCUUCUAAAGCUAAAUACCGGCCAGAGACCGAUAGCGCACAAGUAGAGUGAUCGAAAGAUGAAAAGCACCUUGAAAAGGGGGUUAAAUAGUACGUGAAAUUGUUGAAAGGGAAGCACUUGUGACCAGACUUGGGCCGGGCGGCUCAUCAGGGGUUCUCCCCUGUGCACUCCGCCCGGCACAGGCCAGCAUCGGUCUUCGCGGGGGGACAAGACCGCCGGGAACGUAGCACCCUCCGGGGUGUGUUAUAGCCCGGCGGACGAUACCCCCGCGGGGACCGAGGUCCGCGCUCCGCAAGGAUGCUGGCGUAAUGGUCACCAGUGACCCGUCUUGAAACACGGACCAAGGAGUCGUCCAUUAGAGCGAGCGUUUGGGUGUAAAACCCGCACGCGUAAUGAAAGUGAACGCAGGUGAGAGCUUCGGCGCAUCAUCGACCGAUCCUGAUGUUCUCGGAAGGAUUUGAGUAAGAGUUUUAACGGACGGACCCGAAAGACAGUGAACUAUGCUUGUAUAGGGUGAAGCCAGAGGAAACUCUGGUGGAGGCUCGCAGCGGUUCUGACGUGCAAAUCGAUCGUCAAAUAUGAGCAUGGGGGCGAAAGACUAAUCGAACUGUCUAGUAGCUGGUUACCGC
Molecule: ribosomal RNA, 889 nt
Filed under: Stenocarpella maydis
Lineage: Eukaryota; Fungi; Ascomycota; Sordariomycetes; Diaporthales; Diaporthaceae
Description: partial large subunit ribosomal RNA
Rfam family: Eukaryotic large subunit ribosomal RNA
Source: RNAcentral